Molecule: ribosomal RNA, 443 nt
Filed under: uncultured bacterium
Lineage: Bacteria
Description: partial 16S ribosomal RNA
Rfam family: Bacterial small subunit ribosomal RNA
Source: RNAcentral
CCUACGGGAGGCAGCAGUGGGGAAUAUUGGGCAAUGGGCGCAAGCCUGACCCAGCAACGCCGCGUGAAGGAAGAAGGCUUUCGGGUUGUAAACUUCUUUUCUCAGGGACGAAGCAAGUGACGGUACCUGAGGAAUAAGCCACGGCUAACUACGUGCCAGCAGCCGCGGUAAUACGUAGGUGGCAAGCGUUAUCCGGAUUUACUGGGUGUAAAGGGAGUGUAGGCGGGACUGCAAGUCAGAUGUGAAAACCAUGGGCUCAACCUAUGGCCUGCAUUUGAAAAUGUAGUUCUUGAGUACUGGAGAGGCAGACGGAAUUCCUGGUGUAGCGGUGAAAUGCGUAGAUAGUAGGAGGAACACCAGUGGCGAAGGCGGUCUGCUGGACAGCAACUGACGCUGAGGCGCGAAAGCGUGGGGAGCAAACAGGAUUAGAUACCCGAGUAGUC